GAAACUGUCCAUUACUGAGUGAACUGUCUCUGGAUGACUAUCCUAUUUUGCUGUUAGUGCAACGUUCCCAACUUUCCUUCCUAUAUCCUCGGAAGAAGCUAAGUUUUUUAGGGGGAACAAGUAGAUGUAAUGGUAUGUGAGAAAGACCUUGGGAGAUGGAGAGAAGAGAUGGUCCUACCGAACUAUCAGGAGGCUUCUCCCUGAUAAAGAAGACUAAAAGCUUUCCUAUGAAUUUUACUAAAGGCCAAUGAAGAAAAGAGCAGAGGAAAGGAUCAAAUAUUUCAAAGAAUUCAAGCCUCCUUCCGAUUUAUUUAUUGUUUUAAAACAUUUAUAGAGCCACAAAUCUUAUAAUAAACUCUGGAUGGCUCCCAAUCAAACAUUAUAAACAUCUCUGCAUCUGAAUCAUAUUGUGUAGGUACUCCUGGCUCA
Molecule: long non-coding RNA, 429 nt
Organism: Ahaetulla prasina
Lineage: Eukaryota; Metazoa; Chordata; Lepidosauria; Squamata; Colubridae
Exons: 4
Source: RefSeq, a predicted model, not a curated record